UAAAAAUUAAGUUUCUUAUGUGGAAUUGAAGAAAGUUAUUUGUUUUUAAUUGGUUUUGGAAGGUAACUUUCUUUUUUGUAUUGACUCCAGGUCUGAUAACACGGUUUCACACAAUGCCACAUUUUUUAGGAACUUAUCUACUAUGUUAUAUGAGGUUCUGUAUGGGACCAAUAAUGAUAUUUGUAUUAAUAUAGGACAAAUGAUGAUAUUGGUAUUAGUUAUACUCUUCCAAAUUAAAAAUAUAUACUGUAAUCUGCUUAAACAUUACAUAUCCACAUACUGUAAACAUUUGCUUGUUUAUAAGUUUAUCAUCAGGGCUCGAAAUAAUGGUCGCCAGCUUGCCAUUGACGACUAAGAAAUUGCAGCUGCUGAGUCUGAUGAGAU
This 384-nucleotide long non-coding RNA is filed under the name Androctonus crassicauda. Lineage: Eukaryota; Metazoa; Arthropoda; Arachnida; Scorpiones; Buthidae. The record is from RNAcentral.